Molecule: long non-coding RNA, 2060 nt
Organism: Pan troglodytes (chimpanzee)
Lineage: Eukaryota; Metazoa; Chordata; Mammalia; Primates; Hominidae
Exons: 7
Source: RefSeq, a predicted model, not a curated record
GGGCAGAACUUAGAACCUCUGGAUGAAUAGAGACGAGGUAAAAUUCUGGCACCUAUCCACAGCCUGAACCUUGGAGAGCACCUCCCUUUCAUAUGACUUCUGCAAAGGGCAUGUUUCAGCUCACAGGGACAAAGAGUCACUGCACCAGAGAACCAGAAAGAGUGAAGAAAUGUUUGUCCCCGGUGCUGAGAACACCACAGAUGAUCUUUCUGCCCAGAGCCACCAUCUUGUCUCUAAAUAUCAGGGUUAUCAAUGCCUGGCCAUCUCUUUUCAAUUUGGGACAACUGCCAGCGACCACUAGCUAGCUCCAGAAUUCCUCAGAUGUUUCAGGAAACUGCCACAACCUUGUAGAGCACAGUUUGAAAGCUACUGCUGAAGAAAUAUGCCAUCUUGAAGGCUUUUUAAACACGGGAUUUGCAAGAUAGGGUUCGCAUUUUAGAAACAUUAUUCUGCUUGCUACACUACUGAGUUUGGAUGAGGGAGACUUGAAGGCAAGGAGCUCUGUUAUGAAAUAACUACGCUUUUCUUACAGAAGAAGACUAUAAUAGACUGUAUCAAAAAUGUCUACGUUCCAUAGCAUUGGUGGAACCAUGCAUUACGUCUGAGGACAAGGACGGGAACCUUCUGUGGCGUGCUGUCAACAGCUUUAAAUAGGCAUUGAGUUUGAAGAUAGAGCACAUGAAGGGCAUGUUACAGCAGAGCUGAAGGGAGAACAGUUGAUGGGGCUUGGUGAUCAACUGAUUUGGAGAGUAAAGCAAUGAGAAGAAUGACAUUCAUGAUUUGCUCCUUGGCACUUCUUUCUAAGGUUAGGGAUCAGAAAGAAACAUAAUUGAGUUCCUGCCAAAUUGAAUAUGCAGAAAGGGCACUGAUAGGGGGAUCAGUUCCUUACUUCUACCAUGAGACAGGCAAGAUAAAGAAGAGUUGAUAAUUUCUGCACCCAUCUUACUUCCUGCCCACCACAGAGCGGUUCACCCAGUGGCCUGGUUGGAUGUUAGCCAUUGGCAGGGCAAGAAAUCCAACAAUCGACUGUAGAAGAAUUCCAGAGAAUCAGUAUGGAUCUCUUUCACACAGACAAAGUCUUGUUCCAGCUAAUCUUAGGCUCCUAUGUGAGAGGAAAGAUGCUGGGAGGCCAGCACGGUGGCUCACACCCAUAAUCCCAGCACUUUGGGGGGCCAAGGUGGGCAGAUCCCUCGAGCCCAGGAAUUCAAAACCAGCCCGGGCAACAUAGUAAUAACCCCCAUCUCUACAAUAAAUUAAGAAAAAUAAUUAGCCAGAUGUGUUGGUGCAUGCCUUAGUCCUAACUACUCUGCAAGCUGAGCUGAGAGGAUCACUUGAGCCCAGGAGGUCAAGGUUGCAAAGAGCCAUGAUCCUGUCCCUAGGCAACAGAACGAAAAAGAUGUGAGAAAUACUCAAAGUCUUGGUCUUUACCCAGAAGAAUCAGAGCAAGGAAAAGAAAGAUCUCUUUCCCCAGUUCGACAUCCAUCUUCCUAAAUUUGGACAAAGGGAUCCUAAACCACAGCGUCCUACAGUGAGUCAAAACGCCCAUGCACUGAUUCUCAUCUCACUGGAGGUCACAAAAACACCAUGGGAGACGAUGAUGUCUUUUCCUUUUUGUUAUCUUGAUAAAGCUUCAUACAUGAACACUUCACUCUGUCUCGAUUACUACAUGGUGAAUUGAAGUUUCAGUAGAGAGGGAGUUGAGCUGAUACUGAGGAGAUAAAUACCCAUCACUGUAUACAUCUACUUCUUGGAAUUUGCAAGGGAACCAGUCAACAGAUUUUUCAAGCCUUAUAAGUUUAUCCGCCUGAGAAGUUCACCAGCUACAUAACAUCCUGGACUCUGGAGCCCAAGAGAUGUGUAGUUGCCAUUUUGGAGCCAUUUUCUUUAAUAAAUAAGUAGUGAGGCUGCCAUUCUUGUCAAAAUUGAGGACCACAACCCUACUCAUGAAACUGAAAGAUUGUUUGUUAUGAGGAGUUCUGUUUGAGCCAUACAAGCAAUGUAUCCUUUUUAAAGAAAUGUAUCCGGAAUCUUAGGUGUUCAUUGCUCCAAGCCAAGUGCAG